UUAGUGGUUGGGGCAUAGACUCAGAUUACUGUCAUAUUGAAUGGUUUGCUUUGGAAACAAACAGAAGUCAUUCUGUUAGUUUUGAGAUUAUACCGGGUACUACAUUACAGACUUCUGCUGAGUGUGAGGGGUGCUCCUUUUCUUCUAAUGGAUUCUUGCCCACAGUAGUAGAUAUAAUGAUAAGAAUAAGAGGCCUGUUGGAAGCUUCCUGAUGGAAGAGACUGACUGUGGGGGGAUCUUGGACUUGUUCAGAUGGCUGGAGCCAUUCUCAAUACUCAGUGGAUUUUCUGGGUCACGUGGUAAUUCUAUUUUUUAGUUUUUUGAGAAACCUCCAUGCUG
Molecule: non-coding RNA, 339 nt
Organism: Odocoileus virginianus texanus
Lineage: Eukaryota; Metazoa; Chordata; Mammalia; Artiodactyla; Cervidae
Source: RefSeq, a predicted model, not a curated record